AGUGAACGCUGGCGGUAGGCCUAACACAUGCAAGUCGAACGGCAGCACAGUAAGAGCUUGCUCUUACGGGUGGCGAGUGGCGGACGGGUGAGGAAUACAUCGGAAUCUACUUUUUCGUGGGGGAUAACGUAGGGAAACUUACGCUAAUACCGCAUACGACCUACGGGGGAAAGCAGGGGAUCUUCGGACCUUGCGGGAUUGAAUGAGCCGAUGUCGGAUUAGCUAGUUGGCGGGGUAAAGGCCCACCAAGGCGACGAUCCGUAGCUGGUCUGAGAGGAUGAUCAGCCACACUGGAACUGAGACACGGUCCAGACUCCUACGGGAGGCAGCAGUGGGGAAUAUUGGACAAUGGGCGCAAGCCUGAUCCAGCCAUACCGCGUGGGUGAAGAAGGCCUUCGGGUUGUAAAGCCCUUUUGUUGGGAAAGAAAAGCAGCAGGUUAAUACCCCGCUGUUCUGACGGUACCCAAAGAAUAAGCACCGGCUAACUUCGUG
RNAcentral lists this ribosomal RNA (492 nucleotides) under uncultured bacterium. RNAcentral describes it as "partial 16S ribosomal RNA". It matches the Rfam family "Bacterial small subunit ribosomal RNA", at positions 29 to 507 of the family's 1533-position model. The record is from RNAcentral.